This 69-nucleotide transfer RNA is filed under the name Sphaerodactylus townsendi. RNAcentral's name for it is "tRNA-Ala". The record is from RNAcentral. Lineage: Eukaryota; Metazoa; Chordata; Lepidosauria; Squamata; Sphaerodactylidae.
GCUCUGGCUCAGUGGUAGGCCAAUUGCUUAGCAUGCAAAAGGUCCCAGGUUUGACCCCUGAGAUCUCCG